Molecule: ribosomal RNA, 492 nt
Filed under: uncultured bacterium
Lineage: Bacteria
Description: partial 16S ribosomal RNA
Rfam family: Bacterial small subunit ribosomal RNA
Source: RNAcentral
AGUGAACGCUGGCGGUAGGCCUAACACAUGCAAGUCGAACGGCAGCACAGUAAGAGCUUGCUCUUACGGGUGGCGAGUGGCGGACGGGUGAGGAAUACAUCGGAAUCUACUUUUUCGUGGGGGAUAACGUAGGGAAACUUACGCUAAUACCGCAUACGACCUACGGGUGAAAGCAGGGGAUCUUCGGACCUUGCGCGAUUGAAUGAGCCGAUGUGGGAUUAGCUAGUUGGCGGGGUAAAGGCCCACCAAGGCGACGAUCCGUAGCUGGUCUGAGAGGAUGAUCAGCCACACUGGAACUGAGACACGGUCCAGACUCCUACGGGAGGCAGCAGUGGGGAAUAUUGGACAAUGGGCGCAAGCCUGAUCCAGCCAUACCGCGUGGGUGAAGAAGGCCUUCGGGUUGUAAAGCCCUUUUGUUGGGAAAGAAAAGCAGCAGGUUAAUACCCCGCUGUUCUGACGGUACCCAAAGAAUAAGCACCGGCUAACUUCGUG